RNAcentral lists this long non-coding RNA (255 nucleotides) under Setaria italica (foxtail millet). RNAcentral describes it as "long non-coding RNA (SITA_LNC003461)". Lineage: Eukaryota; Viridiplantae; Streptophyta; Magnoliopsida; Poales; Poaceae. The record is from RNAcentral.
CUCCUGUGGACAUCCCGGCAAUGCAGCUCGUCAUGAACGGCGGGGAUUCCACCUAUGUUGCUCUGCUGCCGUCUGGGUUUGCCAUCCUGCCUGAUGGUCCCAGCACCGGUGCUGAGCACAAGACUGGUGGCUCAUUGCUCACCGUCGCCUUCCAGAUCCUCGUCAACAGCCAGCCGACCGCCAAGCUCACUGUGGAAUCAGUAGAGACUGUGAACAACCUCAUCUCCUGCACAAUCAAGAAGAUCAAGACGGCGC